GCACUAAUGCGCUAUUUCGUGGCAGUAAGUUUUUAUUCAUGAUGGAGGAAGCUUCAGUACCAGGAGAGAACCACCGACCUUCUAUAGUAAAACUGGCAAUCCUUGUAAAUUAAGAUUGGAGUCGAAGGCACCUGUCACAUGCCGGAUUAGAUCUCACAACAUUAGUGUUGACAGGCUAGUGAUACAUCAUUUAGACCACCACC
Molecule: long non-coding RNA, 203 nt
Filed under: Mytilus galloprovincialis (Mediterranean mussel)
Lineage: Eukaryota; Metazoa; Mollusca; Bivalvia; Mytilida; Mytilidae
Source: RNAcentral